CUCCGAGGAAAAUUCAAAACUGCAAGUCCCUAUUUCAAUGGCAAAAUCAAAUGAUAAAACACAUCAAACGAAAGGACAACAAAUGUCAUAUUCCUGAUUUGGUACAGGCAUUCUCAAAUGUAGAAAAUGGUGGAUGAAACCAGGUUUAAAAGCGCUAAAUCUCUCACUUGUAUGACAGUUGCAUCAAACUCCAUUAAAUUUAUAACGAUGCGUCUAGAAUUAGAACAAAAUUCUAAAACAUUAUACGGAAUCAACGCAUAGUUAAUUGGGUUUUAUUUUUGCAUUUUUUCAUAUAAUGGUUUACGUUUUCU
This 311-nucleotide long non-coding RNA is filed under the name Mytilus galloprovincialis (Mediterranean mussel). The record is from RNAcentral. Lineage: Eukaryota; Metazoa; Mollusca; Bivalvia; Mytilida; Mytilidae.